Long non-coding RNA from Phyllostomus hastatus (greater spear-nosed bat), 589 nucleotides. RefSeq lists it as uncharacterized. The record is from RefSeq and is a predicted model, not a curated record. The transcript is spliced from 2 exons. NCBI's taxonomy places the organism in Eukaryota, Metazoa, Chordata, Mammalia, Chiroptera, Phyllostomidae.
GCAAAGAAAUGAAAAAGACCAUGGACGAAAUCACCGGUCGGUUGCGCCGCAUUCAGUCUGGGGAAGGAGCAGACGCUGGCUGUGCCUGGAACACGCGCCAGGCACCGGCCUCGCGACGACGACCCUCAGAGUUCUGGGUGGCUCAGUGUCGUCAUCGCACAGAUGAGACGGCUGGGGCGCGGGCAGGUGAACGGCGUGCACCCGACCUCACCGCAGGUUUGUGGCGGAGUCGGGACAGGACUGGAUCGGAAUGUUUCCGUUACAGGCCCCGCUGGGUGCCGGAACUCAGACCAGCGUCGGGACACACGAGUGCAAACCUGUGUGAAACUUGUUACAAACCACAGGUCUCAAAUCUUAACACUGCUGGUGGUGAAGAAACAACCCAACUCUAAAUUCUUAAAUCCAGUCACACAGCUUCAAGUUAAGUUAUGACCAAAUAUAUUACGGAACGAAAAUAGUGUGGGGUACUCUUAUUAAACUCUAAGUGCUCGCAUUCAACUUAAAGACGUUUUGCAUGUUUUCAUCAAUUGUCUUUGUCCCUUUACUUUGGCUUAACUUUGGAAAUAAAUGAUGGGAUUUUAUUUCUAAA